UUAGCUCAUAUUUGUAUGGAAUGGGAUCGUUUGCGUACGUUUGCCGCUAGGGGCGCUGUUCCAACUCCAUACAAAAUUUGGUUA
Molecule: microRNA precursor, 84 nt
Filed under: Bombyx mori (domestic silkworm)
Lineage: Eukaryota; Metazoa; Arthropoda; Insecta; Lepidoptera; Bombycidae
Description: mir-2807 microRNA precursor family
Rfam family: mir-2807 microRNA precursor family
Source: Rfam by way of RNAcentral